This 3623-nucleotide unclassified non-coding RNA is filed under the name Hevea brasiliensis (rubber tree). The record is from RNAcentral. Lineage: Eukaryota; Viridiplantae; Streptophyta; Magnoliopsida; Malpighiales; Euphorbiaceae.
AAACAUAUGCUGUGAAAUAAUUAAACAUUGAAGAAUUCUAUUACAUCAAACAAAGACUACAUAAAUGAGCCACCACUUUACUGCCUAACAUGCUUUUUGCCUUUUAGUAGUCUAUUCAAGGCUGUAAAACAAUUGUAACAUUGGCAUACGACAAUCAUCCAAGGAACACCCCAAACUUAUGACCAUCUCAGAAUUUUGAUCAACAAAUAAAAUUUUAUUCCCGCUAGACCUCUAAUUUCUAUUAAUAUUGAAGAAUUGUACAUGAAAUCUAGCAUACAAAGUUUUUACAGCCACCAUCUAUUAACUUAAUCAAUGAGUAAAAAAAUGAAAGUAAAUUUAUUACCUAUACCUCCAAGUAUUAUCUACGUCCCUAGGUAAGGCCAAAGUAAGCUAUCACCUUAAUGCACCAAGCUCCUCAAUAUCUCAUUGAUUUUGCAGAACAACAGUUCCAAAGCCCUCAAGGAUGUCAAUAUGUACAAAACAAGAAUUGACAUGUAACUGCAGAAGGGGAUGUUUGGAUAUGGUUCCCUUCCAGGCUUAUCAUCAUAAGGCGGUAACAGCUGAACUAUCACACAACCGCAGAUGCUGUACGACGAAGAUCUGCAACCCCAUUGUUGAAUUUCUCACUAGGCUGCCUGCCUUUGAAACUUCCAUAUCUUCCUGGCUUGGGUUGAAAUAGAGAGGCAAGCAUUUGCUCCAAGGCCUGCACGGAGUAUUUAGCAUAUUUACUUGAACUUCCAUCCUGCUCAACCAAGGGCCCAUAGUUCUGCAUAUAACUUCGAUAAACAGGAACAACCGCUUGCACUAUCAAUUGGCAUGUCUUCUCCCUGAGGUCUCUCUCGGGCAUAACCCAGUUUGACUGCUUCCUGUACAUUUCAUCAAAAGCUUCAUUGAAAGUCUUCAGCCUUUUCUUGACAAGAUCACGAGCAGUGGCACGCCCACCUGAGAAAAGAAUAAGACCUUCCCGACUUAGAUGACUGGGAAGCUUCCCCCAACUGUCUCUCAAGAAGAUCGUGGCAUAAUAGUCCUUGUACUGCUCAUGUUCUCUUAACCAAGAAUCUCCCAAGAGAUCUCCAAGUUUUGUUCCUUUUAAGUGCUUGUACAAAUGAUAGUGGUUGUUCAUAGCAAAAAGGUUAGAUAGGAUGGUGUCUUCGUAAGCCUUUGUCCAAGUCUCCACAUUGAGCUCAAUGGCUUUUAUUACAUUCAGUACCUCAGUAACAAGGAGUCUCUCCUGAAACCUCUCGUGCUUCCAACUUCGAUGAAUGAUCAGAACCUGGGUCAGAAUGGGCUUAUAGUCAUCCCCAAGAAGCUUAUUACAGUAAUCAGUGAUAAAGCUUACUAGUCUCGGCACACCCCCAUCUGGAGGAGGAGGAAUCUGCCUCUGCAACUCCACCUGAACCAAAAGUUCCCAGAAAAUCUCGGAUGCCCCAUCAAUCACCCUCUUAAUGAGGUCCCUUGUAAGGUUUUGGAUCUCAAUACAGGCUGCUCCACCAAAGAGCCUGUUAAAAUCCAGCCUUAACUUGUUUAGAGAUGCGAAUAUAUCCAGCAACUUCAAAAGCUUGAUCGGGUCUUUUUUACUUUCUGCAACAGUCUUCCCAAAUUGAAGAAAUGCAAGAAAACCUGCUUGAGCAGCUAUACUGGAAAAGCAUCCCAUCCACACAUCCAAUCCAAUCCUCUCAAACACAUCAUUGCAAAGCUUGUACUCCGCUUCAAACAAAUGUUUCACUGCAAACUCCAAAUGCUUGCCCCACUGAGCUAUAUAGCCCUCUAUGCUCUGCACAUCAUUGAAUUCAGCUAUGGAGAUCUCAAGAUAAUCCAAAUCAAGAGCCUGCAAACUGGCUCUAACAUUUGAACCACGUACUUCAACAUAGAUUGAUAUGCACCUUUCAAGCCUAUUAUUAACAAUCAACCGCCCAAGAAUUGCUUGCAACUUCUGAAUGACAGUUACAGGUAACGGUGAUGGUGCAAUUACUGCCUGUUGGCCCAGGGAUGAAGGGGAAGACAUUGGAAGUGGCACACUGUGUUCUGACAACAGCCGUCGAAACUCGCCUUCCAAUUUAUCCAAGGCAGCAUCUAAAAGUCCACCGUCAAGGCGAGCCUUUUGAUCAUCACUUUGCAAUUCCCUAAGAUUCUUCAAUGACUUCUUCAAAUUGGUAAGAAACCGCGCAUCCGCCACAGUAUUAUCCUCCAAAUACUCAACUAUAUCCUCCAACCACUGAAUUGCCAAUCCACAAUUAUCUCCCAGAAACCUCAAUGCCUCUUCAAGGCGCUUCAAUACAGACAAAUAACCAGGAAGAUCAUUUUUUGGAUCUGAUAAAAGCGACUUUUCUAGACCAUGAACAGCAUCAAAAACCUUAAGCACUGCCGCAGCAGGACCAACAGCACGGUUAAUGUGGCCACCAACAGUAGCAAGGGCAUCCUCAUCAGCUAGAAUGGGGCGUACAGCCGCCUCUAGAGAAGGCAAUCUCUGCUUAAUCUCAUCCAAUCUAGGUCCUGCUUUGUCAAGAGCAAACCCUAAGGCUUUUGAUUUGUCUAAGCUAAGCUUCAAUGACUUCCUUGCAGCUAUCAAAUUCUGAAUUCUACCUUUAUCAUCGCCAUUACCGCUAACGGAAUCCCCCAUUCCAAUCCCCAAACACUGCAACUAAAACUCUUUAAUCCAAAAAAACAAAAAAAAAAAAUCACAGCUUCGGGCUACGAAUCUCCGUCAAUUCAGACUAUACUAAGCUCCAAAAAUCGAGAUUUGAUUUAUUCAGCCUCUUAAUGAUCUUAUGAUGUUGCCUUUGGACUUAUCGAAGAAUGUUUUCAAAUCAAGCUGGACUCAUAUAAGAACAUAUCUUCAUUUCUACACUCUUCACAGAAAAAAAAAAAAUCAACAAAUCAAACCAAACCCAGCAAGAAAAUACAAACUGAUACUAAAAUUCACAGCAAGAGAGAGAUAGUUUCGUUGAGGUAGGUAGGAAAAUGAGAGAGAAGUGAGAGAAAAAUUACUCGAAAAUGACGGUCAAAGUUAGAGGUUCGAACUAUAGAGCUUGAAGGAGCGUGUUCGACCCGGCGAGAGCGAGCUGGAAAAGAAGAAGAAUAACAGUGUAAGAAUCUGAAUCGGUGAGUUUUAGAUUCAGAAAGAGAAUGAAAUUACAGAAAGAAAAACCCUAAAAUCUUUUAGAGAGAAAAAAAGAGAGAGAAUUUUACAGCUGUUUUUUUAUUUUUAUUUUUUGCAAUUUUCUGACGUAGAAAUGCUUAAGAGCUUAAGCUGUUUUUGUUUUCCACUAAUUGUACUUAAGGCUCUGUAAGAUAGAGAGAUUAGAGAACGUUAAAAAGGUUUUAAGAGUUUAUAAUUUAGGUAAGAAAAUUUAUUGGGUGAUAAGCGUGUAGGUAUAAUCGGGUCUUGCUCUAUACGUGGCUCUCAGGCAGAGCAUUUGCUUCUCAGGCGGCUCUAUACGUGGCUUCCAUGCAGUGCAUUUAUAUGGAAACGAAAAGAAGAAAUACAGUUGCCCGUGCUGUCCAUAGUGGUUUUAGUGUUGUUGAGACCAACGCACGCUGCCUCUCACUUUCCUUUCAAAUUUCUCAUCCUCCUUACUAUUUUCUCCGUUCAAAGUCUGAAACCUUUAUUUGACCCUUUCCAA